RNAcentral lists this ribosomal RNA (460 nucleotides) under uncultured bacterium. RNAcentral's name for it is "partial 16S ribosomal RNA". It matches the Rfam family "Bacterial small subunit ribosomal RNA", at positions 338 to 795 of the family's 1533-position model. The record is from RNAcentral.
CCUACGGGAGACUGCAGUGAGGAAUAUUGGUCAAUGGGCUUACGCCUGAACCAGCCAAGUCGCGUGAGGGAAGACUGCCCUAUGGGUUGUAAACCUCUUUUGUCAGGGAGCAACGCCGGCUACGUGUAGCCUGCCUGAGAGUCCCUGCAGAAAAAGCAUCGGCUACCUCCGUGCCAGCAGCCGCGGUAAUACGGAGGAUGCGAGCGUUAUCCGGAUUUAUUGGGUUAAAGGGGUGCGUAGGCGGAAUGCCAAGUCAGCGGUAAAAUCGCGGGGCUCAACCUCGAUCCGCCGUUGAAACUGGCGGUCUUGAGUGGGCGAGAAGUAGGCGGAAUGCGUGGUGUAGCGGUGAAAUGCAUAGAUAUCACGCAGAACUCCGAUUGCGAAGGCAGCAUACCGGAGCCCAACUGACGCUGAAGCACGAAAGCGUGGGUAUCGAACAGGAUUAGAUACCCCUGUAGUC